GACCCCAUAUAUCUCCAUGACCCCAUAACCGCACAUCCCUGUGCCCCACACAUCCCUCUGACCCCAUAACCUUACAUCCCUGUGCCCCACACAUCCCUGUGACCCCAUAUAUCUCCAUGACCCCAUAAGCCCACAUCCCCGUGCCCCACACAUCCCCCCCAUUGCCCCCAUACCCCUCCGACUGCCCCCCAUAACCCCCCACCCCAUAACCCCCCACCCCAUUUCUCACCUGUCAGCACAGCCAGGCAGCCCAGCAGCAGUGGGGCCGCGGUGCCGCGCAUUAUGGGAUCAAUGGGAUCGCAGCGGGGCGGAUCCUAUGGGGAUCCCCACAACUUUGGGGUCCGACGGGGAUUUCCAACAGCUUCCAAUGGGGUCCGACUGGGAGCUCCAGAUAAUGGGAUCCGAUGGGGAUCUUCGGGUUAUGGGGUCCGAUCAGGAUCUCCAAUGGGGUCCAAUGGGGUCCAAUGGGGUCCAAUUAGGAUCUUCAGGUUAUGGGGUCCGAUUAGGAUCUCCAAUGGAGUCCAGUGGGAUGCAAUGGGGUCCAAUGGGAUCCAAUGGGGUCCAAUGGGGUCUGAUUAGGAUCUUCAGGUUAUGGGGUCCGAUUAGGAUCUACAGUGGGCUCCAAUUAGGAUCUUCAGGUUAUGGGGUCCGAUCAGGACCUCCAAUGGGGUCCAAUGGGGUCCAAUGGGAUCCAAUGGGGAUCUUCAGGUUAUGGGGUCCUAUCAGAAUCUCCAGUGGGGUCCAAUGGGAUGCAAUGGGGUCCAAUUAGGAUCUUCAGGUUAUGGGGUCCGAUCAGGAUCUCCAAUGGGAUCCAAU
RNAcentral lists this long non-coding RNA (816 nucleotides) under Phasianus colchicus (ring-necked pheasant). RNAcentral's name for it is "lncRNA (ENSPCLG00000017240.1)". Lineage: Eukaryota; Metazoa; Chordata; Aves; Galliformes; Phasianidae. The record is from RNAcentral.